GUAAGUGCAGUAAUGCAUUCAGCUUACCAGUACUAAUAGGCCGUGAGGCUUGACCCU
This 57-nucleotide ribosomal RNA is filed under the name Nitrospiraceae bacterium. RNAcentral's name for it is "partial 23S ribosomal RNA". The record is from RNAcentral. Lineage: Bacteria; Pseudomonadati; Nitrospirota; Nitrospiria; Nitrospirales; Nitrospiraceae.